UCGAGAAUCUUCCGCAAUGGGCGAAAGCCUGACCCAGCGACGCCGCGUGGGGGAAGAAGUCUUUCGGGAUGUAAACCCUUGUUGUACGGGACGAAGGAAGUGACGGUACCGUACAAGGAAGCCCCGGCAAACUACGUGCCAGCAGCCGCGGUAAUACGUAGGGGGCGAGCGUUGUCCGGAAUCACUGGGCGUAAAGCGCACGUAGGCGGGCUGUCAAGUCGGCCGUGAAAGGCAUGGGCUCAACCUGUGCAUGUCGGUCGAUACUGGCGGUCUGGAGUAUGGGAGAGGGAACUGGAAUUCCCGGUGUAGCCGUGAAAUGCGUAGAUAUCGGGAGGAACACCAGUGGCGAAAGCGGGUUCCUGGCCCAUGACUGACGCUGAGGUGCGAAAGCCGGGGGAGCGAACG
RNAcentral lists this ribosomal RNA (405 nucleotides) under uncultured prokaryote. RNAcentral describes it as "bacterial SSU rRNA". It matches the Rfam family "Bacterial small subunit ribosomal RNA", at positions 355 to 774 of the family's 1533-position model. The record is from RNAcentral.